Molecule: long non-coding RNA, 6583 nt
Organism: Symphalangus syndactylus (siamang)
Lineage: Eukaryota; Metazoa; Chordata; Mammalia; Primates; Hylobatidae
Source: RefSeq, a predicted model, not a curated record
ACAUCCACGAAUGGAACGUGCAAAGAUCCUUGUCUUUAUAUACUCUAUUUUAGAAGGUACAGGCAAGCACUAAUCAAUAGCAUAAUAAGAAAGCCAAGUACACGCCUGCUGACUGGUGCUCAGUGCGGACAAAGUUUUCCAGCAGAGGAGGGUGAGGGAACUGGGGUUGGAGGGAGUUAGAAUUCUAAGGAUGGUUCUCAGGGUAGGCUUCAUUGAGAAGGGGUAAAUGAAGCAAAGAUUUGAAGCAGGGGAGGGAGCUAGCCACGCAAAUAUCUCGAGAGAGAAUAUUCUAGAACAGUCAUAGCAAAUGCCCUGAGUAUGCCUAGAGUAAUUACACAAUAGCAAGGCAGGCACUGUGGCUGGAACAGGGUGAGUCUGGUUGGCAUAGGAGGGAGGUCAAAGAGGCAUUCGUGGUGGUGCUGGUGGUGGUGGUGGUGGUGGACAAGGUCUUCAGAUGAUCCACAGCCUGUUUAGAUCUGAGCAUUUACUGAGAAUCACUGCAGCGUUAUAAGCAGAGAAGUGACAUGAUCUGAUUUAUAUUUUGCAGGAUGCUCUACUGAGAAUAGACUGCAGGGAAGAAAAGUAGAAGCAAGGAGACUGUCAGGAAGGGACUGCAGUAAUCCAUACAAAGGAGUCAUGGGGGUGCGGCAUGGUGCCCAGACAUGAUCUGCACCUAAAGCCACAUUUACCACGGGCUUCCACAUUCUCACUUAUAAUACACAUCCCACGUCUUUCCACUCUCAGUGUAGUCUCUUCAAGUUUGCCUCUGCUUAGGUAUCAGCUCCAGCUCUGGCAGGAAUUUCAUAAAGAACUACUGGUUGGGAUCAUCCACUCUGCAGUGCAUUGGUUUCAGGCCUGAUGGUUUCCACCAAAAGUUGUAGCUGUCAAAUGCUGGACCUGCUUGCUCUCUGCCCCAAAUGUGGAUACCUAUUCAGUUGUUUGUUUUCGCAUGGUCUGUUGGUUUUUCUGGCCUAGCUCCUACUCAGAUCCAACCCCUGCGCAACUUCUACCUUUCUGCUUCACCAAGACAGAUGUAUGAGCGUACGCCAAAAGCACUAAACAGUUAAAGGAGGCUGGGACUUGAAGUCCGCUCGACAAGGGGGCACCCAGCAGCUGUGCAAUGCAGUCUAGAGCUACUGUGCUUAGGAAUGUUGAAAGAGUAUCUCUUUCCCAGUGUUAGGUAUCACAUGCAUAUAUUGCGUACAACUUCUAAGGGGCUAUCAUCUCCUUUAUUUCAUGGGAUCUUUGUAAUAUUCCUAUGAAGUAUGUUGUACAGAUGGAACUGUCACACGUUUUUAUAGUUUUCUCAACUUAUAAACUGAAGAUCAGAAGGAUGAAAUAAACUGUCUCAGACCACACAGCUAACACAUGGUGGAGUCAGAACACAGUUCCAAGUCAUUUCACUCCUGGUGCGUGAUGCUGUCCAAACACUCAGGCAGCUCUGGGUGACAACAAAAAACAGGUUUUGAAGACUUCUGUCCAAGCGGAAGCUCUAAACUAGGUUAUCUAGCUUCUGACCUCUAAAUUUUACUAUUUUGUUCUCAAGAGGAAAUGACAUCAAUUAACAAAUAGUUUUAUUUCUGGUGAGGAUUAAGUGAAUGGCAAAGAAUGAAUCCAUUUGCCAAAAACUGUCAUUGCAAUUAUCAUUAGGACUUCAUUGAGUUCCUGCCUGAGUGCUGUCAAACACUAGAAGAAUCAUAUGGGCCUCAUGCUACCUCCAGGAGGGGGACUGUAUCUUUGGGAAAGCUUCACUUCAUGUCUGUCUUCAUCACUGGCUCUUUCCGUGGUCACUGUUCAAUAUAAAUUCAUUUUUUUAUUUACUAAAUACUUCUCUGAGGAAGAGUGGGGAAAAUGAUUCAAGUCUGCCUUCUCUUUAUCAACUCCAUCGUGAUCCACGUUGUUACAGGUUAAUUCAAAAAGGAAAAAAAAAGGGAAAAAUAAUCUUUAUCUCCUCUUCCAUAGAAAAUAGAAGAUUGAAUUAAAAAAGAGUUUGAGAUGUCUCCCCUAGGUGAACCAUGAGAAGAAAAAUUCACAGAUGCAGGAGAAAAAACCCACAAAAUUAUUGUUUUAAAAUGUGUUUGUAUGAAAACAUUUGUUAAAUGCAAAGAGUUUGGGGAAGAAAUAUAAUAGUUGAGAAAAGGGAAACUUCCCUUUUGUUACUCUAUUUUUAACUAUAGGUAGUUUAUGUUCCCCAAAAUUUUCAAAUGAAGAUCUAUGAAUUAUCCUUGCUAGUGAGGUUCUGUUGCAUGUAGAUGUCAUGUAGCUAGUGUACGUACCCUGAAUGCAGUCUCUCUGCACCCCACACUUCUCAUCCAGGCCUGAGUUCUGCACUUUGACACCCAUAGAAGGCUGGUUUAGUGAUGGAUUUGCAUUUACUACUAGCCAGGUGAUAUCACCACUUAUAUUUUCAAAGAUAUCCCAGUCCGAACUCUGUAUAUUCAGAACAGAGCCCUUGGCCCUUGUCCCCUGCCACUCUCCACUCCUCAAAUAAGUGGGCAAAAAAUAUCUUCCCCAUUCUCCAUCUGGUUAAAUUGUUCUCACCAUCCAUCCACUUGCCCAAGUCAAGACCUCAUCCUUACUGCCUUCUUUCCCCUCACCCCUGACUUCCCAUCCAUCACUACGUCCUGGUUCUUCUUCCCUCAAUAUAUAUUUGCUAAAUAAAUAAAUGAAAUCAGAACCUGGAUAAAGAAAUAAAAAAUAUUAUGAUUUUCCAUAAACUUAUAUAAAUUUUGAAUAUUAGUGUGUAAUUGACCUUAAAGGCUAUCUGUCCCAAUUUAUCCACUUUUAUUAGAGAAGACAGCUGAAGACUAAGGAAGAAAGCUCUAGAUUACAUAUUUACUGGCAACUAUGGCACCUAAUGUUCUUUACAAAGUACAUCUUAUAUUUUAACAAGGAUCUGAAAGGUGGACACUGAAUUAGGAAGUAUUGUAUAUUGGAUACUAGUUAAAUCUUACCCGAUAAAUAAAUGUAGUACCCAUUGUUAUAAAUACUGGAAUACUGAGAAGUCAGGUUGUCCAUCUCUCGUCUUGUUUAUAAAUAAGAGUCCUUCGGGAGAUCCUAGCAUAUCAGAUAUCUGGUCUACAAAGAGGUUGUGGCCAGGUUUCAUAAUUCCCUAUAUCAAACUCCCUCCUCAAUCAUUGCAUCUGCUGGCCACCUUAUCACAUAACACACAACCAGCUUAUUAAUAUAAAUUAGAGGACAGUCACCAGGAGGGCUCCAAUCAAUUCAAGGUAGACUCCCAAAGGAACCAGUUGUCUGAGUAAUUGAAACAAAACAAACAAACGAAACACAGUUACUUCACAUCUAUCCCUGGAGGUUGCUUGCAGCUAGGGCAAUUGAACACUCUUCUAAUUGAACAGGGAAAAUAAGGAGUGGUUGCUGCCUCGUACUGAACAGAUUCCACACAGAUGCUUCAUCCUUCCCUGGCGGGACCUGGUUAUGUUUUCACCAGAUUCUAAAUUUUUAUUCCAAAGGACUUUAUCACUUCCAUAUAAUUCCCAUUGGUCACAGGCAGGCAGGAUCAAUAAAGAUAUAAUCCCACAGACAGUAGCAAACACAAAUGUUCCUGAUGAAUUCCAAUCCUGAAAUCCAGAGUCCAAACAUGCUGUGACCAGCUGGGAAUUUGCUCUAAGCUGUCAUCAGUCCCCAACAUCUAAAAUUUCCCCAUGGAGACAAAAGAUGGAAAAGCUGUGUACAAGCUUGGUUCCAUCUUGCAAGGCAGUAUGUGUAAGUAUAAUUGUAGCCUUUUCCAGAGCCAUUUGAAGGGACAAAAAAAGAGGAAGGGAGAAGGGAAUUGAUGCCUAUCAAAAAUGUUGUGGUAAUCUCUUUGAAUGACCAUCAUCACCGUGAAUUCCUGUUGCUCUCUUUCUCUUCCUAUCUUUCCUCUUUCUUUCCUGACAUCUUUAUCGAGAUAUAGUUCAUAUAACAUACAAUUCACCCAUUCAAAGUAUACAAUUUAACUGAUUUUAGUUUGUUCACAGAGUUGUACAACAAUUACUACGAUCAAUUUUAGAACAUUUUCAUCACCCCAGAAAAGAAAUCCUGUAUCCUUUAACAGUCACCUCCAAUCUCCCCAUCUCCCCAGUUCUACACAACCACUCAUAUAAUUUCUUUUCUCUCUAGAAACAAAUGACUAUUCUGGACUUUUUGUGUAAAUAAAAUUAUGCAAGAUAUGGUCUUUUGCGACUAGCGUUUUUCACUUGGUAUGUUUUCAAGGUUCAUCCAUGUUGUAACAUGUAUCAGUGUUUUAUUUUUUUAAUUGCAGAAUACUAUUAUAUGGCUUGACUAUAUUCUACUUAUCCAUAUAUUCAAGUAUCCUUUAAUAAGGUAUACGUUUGUUUCUUUUUUGGACUAUUUUGAAUAAUGUUGCUGUAAAUAUUUAUGUAAAAGUUUUUGUGUAGCCAUACGUUUUUAUUUCUUCUGGGUAUAUGUCUCGGGGUGGAAUUACUGAGUAUUAGGGUAACCACACCCAAACUUUUGAGGAACUGACAGACUUUUUUUGAAAGCGGCUGUACCGUUUUUUCAUUUUCAUAUAUACGAGGUUUCCAGUUUCUCUACAUCCUCAUGAAUACUGGCUACUAUCUGUCUUUUUUAUUACGGUGAAUGAAAGUGAUAUCUCAUUAUGACUUUGGUAUUUAUUUCCCUAAUGAUCAGUGAUGACAAGCAUCUUUUCAGGUGCUUAUUGACUAUUUGUGUAUCUUCUUUAAGUGAAUGUCUAUUCAGAUUUUUUGCUCAUUUAAAAAAUUGGUUUGUCAUUUUAUUAUAAAUUGCAGGAGUUCCUUCCCUGUUGCUUCCUUGUUAAUGAUUGUAGAGGGCAAUUCAGAAUGUUCAACGUAUAUUUCAACACAUUAUAAAUCAUUAGAACAAAAUAAAUUCUAUAUUUCUACCUAAGAGUGAAAGUAUUUCUGGAUCUUUUUAUUUUCUGUGUGUGUGUGUAUGUGUGUGUGUAUGUGUGUGUGUUUGUGUGUGUGUUUGUGUGUGUGACGGAGCUUCACUCUUGUCAUCCAGGCUGGAGUACAAUGGCGUGAUCUCGGGUUCAAGUGAUCCUCCUGCCUCAGCCUCUUCAGUAGCUGGGAUUACAGGCGGCCACCACCAUGUCCAGCUAAUUUUUGUAUUUUUAGUAGAGAAGGGGUUUCACCAUGUUGGCCAGGCUGGUCUUGAGGUUUCACCAUGUUGGCCAGGCUGGUCUUGACCUCCUGACCUCAGGUGAUCCACACACCUCAGCCUCCCAAAGUGCUGGGAUUACAGGUGUGAGCCACCAUGCCCGGCCUGUAUCUUUUUCUUACCUCCAGCAAUCUCACAGAUGCCCAUUAAAACUUCCAUUUGUGUGUUGCAUGUUGAAACCUUGUACAGUCAUUGGUCAUAUUUUUAAAUGGGCAAGCCUUUUGGUGAAUGGUCUGCUUGUCUCUAAACUAAAAUAUAUAAAACCUUAGAGCUAAAUAGAAACACUUGAACUGUCUGCUGUUUUUAGUUCUGAGACAAGUUUGAAGAUACAUUCUUUCUAGAUAGGUACAGUAAAAAAGAACAAUGAGAUUUCAUUGUACAGGGUAAAUGCUCAUUAAAUGUUGGUUGCAGGAAUAAAUGCACAGAAGGCCUUUGUGGGGCAUUGAAUUGUAAGAGCUUGGCUUUGUUCGUUUAGCAAAGCAGAAGAAGGGGCAGAAUUAUUUCCUUCUUGGUCAGAGAGUUUUUGAUCUUCUGAAGCCAGAGUCAAUAAUACUAAUGUCUUGAUGGCCCUGAAUGUUUUUCCAAAUUUGGACAGGGAGGAAGCUCAUUUGCAGAUUGAUAGCCCUAUCUACAAAUGGGUCUAUUUCCCAGUGUAGGUCAUAAUAUAUACAUGAGAUGGUUUCUGUCUAGGUAUGGAAGAGAAACAGAUCUAAGUUGUAUGUGAUUAUCAGACCAACUGCCUACUCAUAGAUCCAGAAGGAUGCUUAAAAGUCAUUUGUUCAGCAAUUAUAUUGCCCUUGCAGUUACCACUCCCUUUUUGAAGAUAAACUUGCAUUUCCUUUGUUUCUACCUCUGGUUGCCUAUUCUUUGUCUCUUCCUUGAUGUUAUUCAAUUACAAGUAGUAGAAAGGGACAGAGCUUCAAUUUCUGCAACAUAUCGGCUGUUUAAUCGUGGGCAAGUCACUUAACCUCAUUGAGUCUGUUUCCUCUUUCACACAUUUGGGAUGCUAAAUAUAACACACUUCCUCCCUCCUGUUCAGGACUGUUGCGAAUAUCAAUUUCUAUAAGGGAAGGCACUGUGCAAAAGGCUAAAUUCAAAACAAAUUUUAGUUGUGGUUGCUAUAAUUAUCUGGUAACCUCCAAUCAACGGCAUUAGUUGCUUCGCGUUUUCUUUUCUUUUCUUUUUUUAUUUCCAGUUUUGUUAACAUGGCAUUUGAAUUGAGGUUAAAACAAAUUACUAAAAUAAAGGUUCGAGAUAAAUGGCAGAUUUUUUGUCUGUAGGUUUCUUCUCUGCUAACAUAGACCAUAGAAGUGUUUGCUGGAAAAUAACCAUGGGUACAAAGACUUUGCUUCCCUGACCAAAAAAAAAAAAAAAAAAAAAAAAAAAAAAAAAAAAAAAAAAAAAAAAAAAAAAAACAGAA